UCGGGAUGUAGCACAGUUGGUAGCGCGCCACGUUCGGGACGUGGAGGUCGGAAGUUCGAGUCUUCUCAUCCCGACCAA
This 78-nucleotide transfer RNA is filed under the name Porphyromonas endodontalis ATCC 35406. RNAcentral describes it as "tRNA-Pro". It matches the Rfam family "tRNA". Rfam says of the family: Transfer RNA (tRNA) molecules are approximately 80 nucleotides in length. Lineage: Bacteria; Pseudomonadati; Bacteroidota; Bacteroidia; Bacteroidales; Porphyromonadaceae. The record is from RNAcentral.